Molecule: ribosomal RNA, 465 nt
Filed under: uncultured bacterium
Lineage: Bacteria
Description: partial 16S ribosomal RNA
Rfam family: Bacterial small subunit ribosomal RNA
Source: RNAcentral
GACGAACGCUGGCGGCGUGCUUAACACAUGCAAGUCGAACGGAAAGGCCCUGCUUGCAGGGUACUCGAGUGGCGAACGGGUGAGUAACACGUGGGUGAUCUGCCCUGCACUUCGGGAUAAGCCUGGGAAACUGGGUCUAAUACCGGAUAGGAGCCAUUUUUAGUGUGAUGGUUGGAAAGUUUUUUCGGUGUAGGAUUAGCUCGCGGCCUAUCAGCUUGUUGGUGGGGUAAUGGCCUACCAAGGCGGCGACGGGUAGCCGGCCUGAGAGGGUGGACGGCCACAUUGGGACUGAGGUACGGCCCAGACUCCUACGGGAGGCAGCAGUGGGGAAUAUUGCACAAUGGGCGAAAGCCUGAUGCAGCGACGCCGCGUGGGGGAUGACGGCCUUCGGGUUGUAAACUCCUUUCGCUAGGGACGAAGCUUUUUGUGACGGUACCUAGAUAAGAAGCACCGGCUAACUACGUG